UUGCUUCUCUGAUGUUAGCGGCGGACGGGUGAGUAACACGUGGAUAACCUACCUAUAAGACUGGGAUAACUUCGGGAAACCGGAGCUAAUACCGGAUAAUAUUUUGAACCGCAUGGUUCAAAAGUGAAAGACGGUCUUGCUGUCACUUAUAGAUGGAUCCGCGCUGCAUUAGCUAGUUGGUAAGGUAACGGCUUACCAAGGCAACGAUGCAUAGCCGACCUGAGAGGGUGAUCGGCCACACUGGAACUGAGACACGGUCCAGACUCCUACGGGAGGCAGCAGUAGGGAAUCUUCCGCAAUGGGCGAAAGCCUGACGGAGCAACGCCGCGUGAGUGAUGAAGGUCUUCGGAUCGUAAAACUCUGUUAUUAGGGAAGAACAUAUGUGUAAGUAACUGUGCACAUCUUGACGGUACCUAAUCAKAAAGCCACGGCUAACUACGUGCCAGCAGCCGCGGUAAUACGUAGGUGGCAAGCGUUAUCCGGAAUUAUUGGGCGUAAAGCGCGCGUASGCGGUUUUUUAAGUCUGAUGUGAAAGCCCACGGCUCAACCGUGGAGGGUCAUUGGAAACUGGAAAACUUGAGUGCAGAAGAGGAAAGUGGAAUUCCAUGUGUAGCGGUGAAAUGCGCAGAKAUAUGGAGGAACACCAGUGGCGAAGGCGACUUUCUGGUCUGUAACUGACGCUGAUGUGCGAAAGCGUGGGGAUCAAACAGGAUUAGAUACCCUGSUAGUCCACGCCGUAAACGAUGAGUGCUAAKUGUUAGGGGGUUUCCGCCCCUUAGUGCUGCAGCUAACGCAUUAGCWCUCCGCCUGGGGAGUACGACCGCAAGGUUGAAACUCAAAGGAWUUGACGGGACCCGCWCAAGCGUGGAGCAUGUGGCUUAAUUCGAAGCACGCKAAGAACCUUACCAAUCUUGACAUCUUUGACAACUCWGAGAUAGAGCCUUCCCCUUCGGGKGAMAAAGGUGACAWGGKGUKGCAUGGUGUCGUCAKYUCUSUCGUGARAUGUUKGGUUAAGYCCCGCACGASCGCAWCCUUAASUYUAGUKCWCWUUAKUUKGG
RNAcentral lists this ribosomal RNA (1058 nucleotides) under Staphylococcus aureus. Its description in RNAcentral is "partial 16S ribosomal RNA". Lineage: Bacteria; Bacillati; Bacillota; Bacilli; Caryophanales; Staphylococcaceae. The record is from RNAcentral.